This 593-nucleotide ribosomal RNA is filed under the name Euprepiophis conspicillata (Japanese woodsnake). Its description in RNAcentral is "partial 12S ribosomal RNA". Lineage: Eukaryota; Metazoa; Chordata; Lepidosauria; Squamata; Colubridae. The record is from RNAcentral.
AUAAUACCAACCGGCGUAAAGCACGACUAAAAAUCAGUUUAACCUUAGUAAACAAAGCCAAGCUGGGCUGUAAAAAGCCAUAAGCCACACUAAACACACUAACAACUAACAACUUCCACUCGUGAAAGCUAGGACACAAACUAAGAUUAGAUACCUUACUAUGCCCAGCCAUAACACAAUAAUUAAAUCACCCAUUAUUCGCCAAAUAACUACGAGUAAAAACUUAAAAUUUAAAAGACUUGACGGUAUCUCACAACAACCUAGAGGAGCCUGUCCAAUAACCGAUACUCCACGAUCAACCCAACCCACUCUAGCCAAACAGUCUAUAUACCGCCGUCGCCAGCCUACCUUGUAAAAGAAACAAAGUGAGCCAAAUAGUCACACACUAACACGACAGGUCGAGGUGUAACUAAUGAGCGGGUAUAAGAUGGGCUACAUUUUCUAAAACAGAAAAUACGGACAAACUAUGAAACAAGAAACUAAAGGCGGAUUUAGCAGUAUACCAGGAAUAGAUAUACCUGAUUGAAAUUAACGCAAUGAGAUGCGUACACACCGCCCGUCAUCCCUGCCAAAAAACUUUAAACAUCAAUAAA